UACAGAGGUCCCAAGCGUUGUUCGGAUUCACUGGGCGUAAAGGGUGCGUAGGUGGCGUGGUAAGUCGGAUGUGAAAGCUCGGAGCUCAACUCCGAAAUGGCAUUGGAAACUACCUUGCUCGAGGGUUGGAGGGGGGACUGGAAUACUUGGUGUAGCAGUGAAAUGCGUAGAUAUCAAGAGGAACACCAGUGGCGAAGGCGAGACCCUGGACAACACCUGACACUGAGGCACGAAAGCGUGGGGAGCAAACAGG
This 253-nucleotide ribosomal RNA is filed under the name uncultured bacterium. RNAcentral's name for it is "partial 16S ribosomal RNA". It matches the Rfam family "Bacterial small subunit ribosomal RNA", at positions 524 to 776 of the family's 1533-position model. The record is from RNAcentral.